RNAcentral lists this ribosomal RNA (254 nucleotides) under uncultured Lamproderma sp. RNAcentral's name for it is "partial 18S ribosomal RNA". It matches the Rfam family "Eukaryotic small subunit ribosomal RNA", at positions 28 to 221 of the family's 1831-position model. Lineage: Eukaryota; Evosea; Eumycetozoa; Stemonitida. The record is from RNAcentral.
AUGCUUCUCCUAAAGACUAAGCCAUGCAUGCCCCGAAUAUGAGGAAGCAAUUCUCUCUGAAUCUGCGAACGGCUCCGCAAACCAGUUGUAAACCACAGCAAGCCUGCGACGGUCGGACUCCGGCCUGGCCUGAGCGAUACGGAUAACCCCGGUAAUUCUAAGGCUAAUACGUGUAUGGAACACCCCGGUGGACCGGCUUCGGCUGGGAAAUCGGGAGACGAGUGAUGGAAUGUUUGGAUUACCAGGAACGGGCG